Molecule: ribosomal RNA, 665 nt
Filed under: Pluteus thomsonii
Lineage: Eukaryota; Fungi; Basidiomycota; Agaricomycetes; Agaricales; Pluteaceae
Description: eukaryotic LSU rRNA
Rfam family: 5.8S ribosomal RNA (bases 280-433)
Source: RNAcentral
AAGGUUUCCGUAGGUGAACCUGCGGAAGGAUCAUUAACGAAUAAACCUGUGUGGGUUGUUGCUGACCAUUUUGUGGUAUGUGCACGCCUGCCAUCGUUUCAUUCACUCUUCCACCUGUGCACUUUCUGUAGGCUGCGCUGUUCUUUCGGGUUCUUGAAUCCCGGCAUGAGGAAUUGCCUUACUGGCAUUCCUUGGAUGGUUGCAGUCUAUGUCUUUAUCAACUCAUUGUAUGUAACUGAAUGUAUGAACUGGGCUUUCAUUGCCCAUAAAACCUUAUACAACUUUCAACAACGGAUCUCUUGGCUCUCGCAUCGAUGAAGAACGCAGCGAAAUGCGAUAAGUAAUGUGAAUUGCAGAAUUCAGUGAAUCAUCGAAUCUUUGAACGCACCUUGCGCUUCUUGGCAUUCCGAGGAGCAUGCCUGUUUGAGUGUCAUUAAAUCCUCAACCCCAUCUUCCUUGUGAAGUGGUCAGUUGGACUUUGGGAGCUGCUGGCUUGGUGUCAGCUCUUCUGAAAUAAAUUAGCAGGGAACCUUAUGUGCUGGACUGCAGCUUGGUAUUGAUAGUUGUCUUACCAGGUGACAGUCAGGCAUUCACUCUGCUCACAGCCGUCUCUACUUGAGACAAGUGACUUGACGAUUUGACCUCAAAUCAGGUAGGACUACCCG